GAUGAACGCUAGCGGCAGGCUUAAUACAUGCAAGUCGAGGGGCAGCAGGGGUGUAGCAAUACACUCGCUGGCGACCGGCAAACGGGUGCGGAACACGUACGCAACCUACCCAUAACUGAGGAAUAGCCCGGGGAAACCCGGAUUAAUACUUCGUAACAUAAUGAUGUGGCAUCACAUUAUUAUUAUAGCUCCGGCGGUUUUGGAUGGGCGUGCGCCUGAUUAGCAGUU
RNAcentral lists this ribosomal RNA (228 nucleotides) under uncultured bacterium. Its description in RNAcentral is "partial 16S ribosomal RNA". It matches the Rfam family "Bacterial small subunit ribosomal RNA", at positions 28 to 250 of the family's 1533-position model. The record is from RNAcentral.